This 254-nucleotide ribosomal RNA is filed under the name uncultured bacterium. Its description in RNAcentral is "partial 16S ribosomal RNA". It matches the Rfam family "Bacterial small subunit ribosomal RNA", at positions 524 to 776 of the family's 1533-position model. The record is from RNAcentral.
UACGGGGGGAGCAAGCGUUGUUCGGAUUUACUGGGCGUAAAGGGCGCGUAGGCGGCCUCCGCAAGUCAGUUGUGAAAUCUCCGAGCUUAACUCGGAAAGGUUAACUGAUACUGCGGGGCUAGAGUGCGGAAGGGGCAACUGGAAUUCUUGGUGUAGCGGUGAAAUGCGUAGAUAUCAAGAGGAACACCUGCGGCGAAGGCGGGUUGCUGGGCCGACACUGACGCUGAGGCGCGAAAGCUAGGGGAGCAAACAGG